This 253-nucleotide ribosomal RNA is filed under the name uncultured bacterium. Its description in RNAcentral is "partial 16S ribosomal RNA". It matches the Rfam family "Bacterial small subunit ribosomal RNA", at positions 524 to 776 of the family's 1533-position model. The record is from RNAcentral.
UACAGAGGGUGCUAGCGUUGUUCGGAAUCAUUGGGCGUAAAGGGCGUGUAGGCGGUUUGUUAAGUCAUGUGUGAAAGCCCCCGGCUCAACCGGGGAACGACGCAUGAAACUGGCAAGCUAGAGUACCGAAGAGGGGGGUGGAAUUCCAGGUGUAGCGGUGAAACGCGUAGAUAUCUGGAGGAACACCGGUGGCGAAGGCGACAUCCUGGACCGGUAUUGACGCUGAGGCGCGAAAGCCAGGGGAGCAAACGGG